Long non-coding RNA from Helianthus annuus (common sunflower), 438 nucleotides. RefSeq lists it as uncharacterized. NCBI's taxonomy places the organism in Eukaryota, Viridiplantae, Streptophyta, Magnoliopsida, Asterales, Asteraceae. The record is from RefSeq and is a predicted model, not a curated record. The transcript has 2 exons.
AGGAAGCGAUUGUUAUUGAUGAUGGUGAAGACAAUGAUGAUUCGGAUUGGUUGGAAUUGCUCAAUUGCCUCCUAAGGUGCCUGUGUACAAGGAGAAGCGUUACGAGAAUUCGAUUAUUAAGGAGUUGAGGUAUAAUAAUUUUGUUAGAUUUGUUGGCCUAUCAAUCUUUGUUUAAUCUUAUAUUGGGUUUCCACCGGUGACCGUAUGGCGUUCUUCGGAGCAUUCUCCAAGUUAUCACUUGUCGGUGCUGGUGAUUCCUGAUCUAUAGUGAUGGUCGUAUUCCUGAACGACAUCUUGCACGUGUUAAAGAAGAAGUUGCCGCUUAAGUUAUUUAAUAUUCUUUUACCUAUGAUAUAACGAAUUAGAAAGCAACUUUGUUACAUUUUAUAACUGUUUAAUUUACAUACGUUGUUACCAUUUAUUAAUCUUUCUUAUUCA